CCUACGGGAGGCAGCAGUGGGGAAUAUUGGACAAUGGGGGGAACCCUGAUCCAGCGACGCCGCGUGAGUGAAGAAGUACUUCGGUAUGUAAAGCUCUAUCAGCAGGGAAGAAAAUGACGGUACCUGACUAAGAAGCCCCGGCUCACUACGUCCCAGCAGCCGCGGUAAUACGUAGGGGGCAAGCGUUAACCGGAUUUACUGGGGGUAAAGGGAGCGGAGAUGGUGUAGCAAGUCAGAUGUGAAAGCUCCGGGCUCAACCCCGGGACUGCAUUGGAUACUGUUGGACUUGAGUCCAGGAGAGGUAAGCGGAAUUCCUGGUGUAGCGGUGAAAUGCGUAGAUAUUAGGAGGAACACCAGUGGCGAAGGCGGCUUACUGGACUGUAACUGACGUUGAGGCGCGAAAGCGUGGGGAGCAAACAGGAUUAGAUACCCUAGUAGUC
RNAcentral lists this ribosomal RNA (440 nucleotides) under uncultured bacterium. RNAcentral describes it as "partial 16S ribosomal RNA". It matches the Rfam family "Bacterial small subunit ribosomal RNA", at positions 338 to 795 of the family's 1533-position model. The record is from RNAcentral.